UAAACUUCAAUGAUUGGAAAAAGUAGCACGAUUUUGCUGACUUAGAGAGCCUGCGGCAGGUGAAAGCAGGAGAGCAGAUUGUGUGAAUGGGUCCAUGAGAGCUGUUUUGAAAAAAGUAGAAACAGACGGUUCAUCCACGUUACCGGAUACUUAAGUGAGAGCAUAUUUUGCUCUAACGUGAGGUGGUACCGCGGGUAAAUCCCGUCCUCCGU
Molecule: non-coding RNA, 212 nt
Filed under: Jeotgalibacillus campisalis
Lineage: Bacteria; Bacillati; Bacillota; Bacilli; Caryophanales; Caryophanaceae
Description: T-box sequence
Rfam family: T-box leader
About the family: Uncharged tRNA acts as the effector for transcription antitermination of genes in the T-box leader family. T-boxes are found upstream of many aminoacyl-tRNA synthetase genes and some amino acid biosynthetic genes usually in Gram-positive bacteria.
Source: RNAcentral